This 398-nucleotide ribosomal RNA is filed under the name uncultured bacterium. RNAcentral's name for it is "bacterial SSU rRNA". It matches the Rfam family "Bacterial small subunit ribosomal RNA", at positions 358 to 772 of the family's 1533-position model. The record is from RNAcentral.
GGAAUCUUGCGCAAUGGGGGAAACCCUGACGCAGCGACACCGCGUGCGGGAGGAAGGCUUUCGGGUCGUAAACCGCUUUUCUGUGGGACGAGUAAGGACGGUACCACAGGAAUAAGUCCCGGCUAACUACGUUCCAGCAGCCGCGGUAAAACGUAGGGGGCGAGCGUUAUCCGGAAUCACUGGGCGUAAAGGGCGUCUAGGCGGCCCGGCAAGUCUUGUGUGAAAUCUCCCGGCUCAACUGGGAGGGUGCAUGAGAAACUGCAGGGCUUGAGACUCGAAGGGGGAUGCGGAAUUCCCGGUGGAGCGGUGAAAUGCGUUGAUAUCGGGAGGAACACCUGAGGCGAAGGCGGCAUCCUGGUCGGGAUCUGACGCUGAAGCGCGAGAGCGUGGGGAGCGAA